CUUGACUUAACCAUAAGAGGUCCAGCCUGCCCAGUGACAUUGUUCAACGGCCGCGGUAUUCUAACCGUGCGAAGGUAGCGUAAUCACUUGUCCUUUAAAUGAGGACUAGUAUGAACGGCCACACGAAAGCUAUGCUGUCUCCUUUUUCUAAUCAGUUAAACUAAUCUCCCCGUGAAGAAGCGGGGAUGAUUAUAUAAGACGAGAAGACCCUAUGGAGCUUUAAACAAUUGAAACACUUGUACCCAUCUUCCACACUUCCGACAGCCUACGCUUAAUUUUACACUUUGUUUCUAGCUUUAGGUUGGGGUGACCACGGAGAAAAAACAAACCUCCACGCUGAAAGAGUUAAUCUCUAAACAAAAAGCUACAUCUUUAAGUAUUAAUACAUUAACCUGAAUUGACCCA
This 405-nucleotide ribosomal RNA is filed under the name Anomaloglossus aff. degranvillei 1 AF-2012. RNAcentral describes it as "partial 16S ribosomal RNA". It matches the Rfam family "Bacterial large subunit ribosomal RNA", at positions 1833 to 2422 of the family's 2925-position model. RNAcentral also lists the same sequence under 2 other names. The record is from RNAcentral. Lineage: Eukaryota; Metazoa; Chordata; Amphibia; Anura; Aromobatidae.